Molecule: long non-coding RNA, 1195 nt
Organism: Solanum pennellii
Lineage: Eukaryota; Viridiplantae; Streptophyta; Magnoliopsida; Solanales; Solanaceae
Exons: 4
Source: RefSeq, a predicted model, not a curated record
UGUCUAUCCUUUUAACCAAAUGCAGUUUGCUGUGCACAUUUAAGCAUCGUAAUUUAAAUGCAUGUUGUUUUGCAAAUUUAUCACUUUGUUAUAGAUCUUUAUUUUUCAUUUUGCAGUAUGUUCUUUUUCUUUUCUUUAACUGUUUUGACUUUUUAUUGGAACAAUCAAAAAAGACAUAUCAAUAAGAGUUGUAGUUGAAUAAAACAUUAUUUAUAUCAAAUUUUGUAUCGUAAUAGUAUAUGAUAAGCGCAAUAAAAAGAGUCUUUGCAAGCCAUGGAAUUCCAAGUGAGUAAUUAGAGCUAGAGAAAACGUAUUGAAAGGUGCAGUAGACUGGACUAUAUUUGUAUGAGCAGAAAAAAAAACGUUUACAAUUUCUGAGAAACACACGUUAAUCAGUUAUUAAAUAUGAUAGACCAUAUUCAUGAAUGACCACCUAACGUUUCACACCAGUUUUCAUUUUGACACUUCAACUAAGACUUGUACGUAUUGUAUACACAUGCAAGAUGCGUCUAUUGAUAUUUUCAAGGAGAAGUUUUAUUUUGAGUGAGACAGGAACACCUAUAAUUAUUAGACCAAGUGGAGAAGUGGACUCCUUCAAAUUAAAACUCCACGGAAACAAAACGAAAACCAUUCAGGGAGGGAUCCAGCUUGUCAGGUAAGGGUUCACACCAUUCAGGGACGGAUCCAGCUUGUCAGCUGAUUGAUCUGGAUACCCUACUCAUAUGCGUUGAUACAAACUUCAUCAGCUUCAUCUUUACAGCUUUAUUGCUGCUUUGAGUUUCUCCUUUGGUGAUUCAAAUCCAAAAUCUUAGGGUUAGAGGACUCAGGAGUAGAUGAGAACAAGCCAACAAGUAUGCAGGCCCUGAAGGCAGGGGAAGAUUCAAGGAUAGGCUACUGAGCAUGAGAACUACUGCAGCCAUGGUUGGUCUAUCAGAAAUAUUUUCUUGAACGCACAGUAAUGCUAUGUGAAUGCAUCUCAUUAUGUCACGAGCCAUUCCUGAGCUUCCCCUCAACAUGGGGUCUAUCAAAUUUGUAGUUGUUUCUUCGCGCCAGUUCAUCCAAGCCUGUCACAUUUUAAUUCAGAGUUUGGAAUCUUACAUUGAUUAUGUAAAAGAAUUUGAUGCAUAAGGAUGGUGUCCCACCUAGUUCGGCAUUCAGGGGUAUUUGAUUAAUUAACUUGGUUACUUACAUUGCU